AGCGGCAGGCCUAACACAUGCAAGUCGAGGGGUAGAAAGAGCUUGCUUUUUUGAGACCGGCGCACGGGUGAGUAACGCGUAUGCAACCUACCUUAUACAGGGGAAUAGCCCGAAGAAAUUCGGAUUAAUGCUCCAUGGUUUAUCGAUAUGGCAUCGUAUUGAUAAUAAAGAUUUAUCGGUAUAAGAUGGGCAUGCGUAUCAUUAGCUAGUUGGUGUGGUAACGGCAUACCAAGGCAACGAUGAUUAGGGGUCCUGAGAGGGAGAUCCCCCACACUGGUACUGAGACACGGACCAGACUCCUACGGGAGGCAGCAGUGAGGAAUAUUGGUCAAUGGAGGCAACUCUGAACCAGCCAUGCCGCGUGCAGGAUGACGGUCCUAUGGAUUGUAAACUGCUUUUGUACAGGAAGAAACCUCCCUACGAGUAGGGACUUGACGGUACUGUAAGAAUAAGGAUCGGCUAACUCCGUGCCAGCAGCCGCGGUAAUACGGAGGAUCCGAGCGUUAUCCGGAAUUAUUGGGUUUAAAGGGUCCGUAGGCGGCCUUAUAAGUCAGUGNCUGAAAGUUUUUGGCUUAACCAAAAAAUUGCCAUUGAUACUGUAGGGCUUGAAUAUCUGUGAAGUAACUAGAAUAUGUAGUGUAGCGGUGAAAUGCUUAGAUAUUACAUGGAAUACCGAUUGCGAAGGCAGGUUACUAACAGAUGAUUGACGCUGAUGGACGAAAGCGUGGGUAGCGAACAGGAUUAGAUACCCUGGUAGUCCACGCCGUAAACGAUGGAUACUAGCUGUUUGGUUUUCGGACUGAGUGGCUAAGCGAAAGUGAUAAGUAUCCCACCUGGGGAGUACGGUCGCAAGACUGAAACUCAAAGGAAUUGACGGGGGCCCGCACAAGCGGUGGAGCAUGUGGUUUAAUUCGAUGAUACGCGAGGAACCUUACCAGGGCCUUAAAUGUAGAUUGACAGAUUUGGAAGCAGAUUUUUUCUUCGGACANUUUACAAGGUGCUGCAUGGUUGUCGUCNGCUCGUGCCGUGAGGUGUCAGGUUAAGUCCUAUAACGAGCGCAACCCCUGUUGUUAGUUGCCAGCACGUAAAGGUGGGAACUCUAGCAAGACUGCCAGUGUAAACUGUGAGGAAGGUGGGGAUGACGUCCAC
This 1149-nucleotide ribosomal RNA is filed under the name uncultured Myroides sp. RNAcentral describes it as "bacterial SSU rRNA". It matches the Rfam family "Bacterial small subunit ribosomal RNA", at positions 38 to 1189 of the family's 1533-position model. Lineage: Bacteria; Pseudomonadati; Bacteroidota; Flavobacteriia; Flavobacteriales; Flavobacteriaceae. The record is from RNAcentral.